AGAGUUUGAUCAUGGCUCAGAUUGAACGCUGGCGGAAUGCUUUACACAUGCAAGUCGAACGGCAGCACGGACUUCGGUCUGGUGGCGAGUGGCGAACGGGUGAGUAAUAUAUCGGAACGUGCCCAGUCGUGGGGGAUAACGUAGUGAAAAUUACGCUAAUACCGCAUACGAUCUAUGGAUGAAAGCGGGGGAUCGCAAGACCUCGCGCGAUUGGAGCGGCCGAUAUCAGAUUAGGUAGUUGGUGAGGUAAAGGCUCACCAAGCCGACGAUCUGUAGCUGGUCUGAGAGGACGACCAGCCACACUGGAACUGAGACACGGUCCAGACUCCUACGGGAGGCAGCAGUGGGGAAUUUUGGACAAUGGACGCAAGUCUGAUCCAGCCAUUCCGCGUGCAGGACGAAGGCCUUCGGGUUGUAAACUGCUUUUGUACAGAACGAAAAGGUCUCUAUUAAUACUAGGGGCUCAUGACGGUACUGUAAGAAUAAGCACCGGCUAACUACGUGCCAGCAGCCGCGGUAAU
RNAcentral lists this ribosomal RNA (521 nucleotides) under uncultured bacterium. Its description in RNAcentral is "bacterial SSU rRNA". It matches the Rfam family "Bacterial small subunit ribosomal RNA", at positions 8 to 524 of the family's 1533-position model. The record is from RNAcentral.